AUGCGUAGAUAUCAGGAAGAACACCGGUGGCGAAGNCGGCUUCCUGGUCCGAUACUGACGCUGAGGCGCGAAAGCGUGGGGAGCGAACAGGAUUAGAUACCCUGGUAGUCCACGCUGUAAACGAUGGGUACUAGGUGUUGGUUGUAAUGAUCAGCGCCGGAGCAAACGCAUUAAGUACCCCGCCUGGGGAAUACGGUCGCAAGACUGAAACUCAAAGGAAUUGACGGGGGCCCGCACAAGCGGUGGAGCAUGUGGUUUAAUUCGAUGCAACGCGAAGAACCUUACCUGGGCUUGAACUGCAGGUGCUAUCUCCUGAAAGGGAGUUUCCUUCGGAACGCCUGUAGAGGUGCUGCAUGGCUGUCGUCAGCUCGUGCUGUGAGGUGUUGGGUUAAGUCCCGCAACGAGCGCAACCCCUGUCCCUAGUUGCCAUCAGGUCAAGCUGGGACUCUAGGGGACUGCCCCGGAUAACGGGGAGGAAGUGGGGAUGACGUCAAGUCAUCAUGCCCUUACGUCCAGGCUACACACGUGCACAAUGGCCGUACAACGGUAGCGAGACAGCGAUGUGG
Molecule: ribosomal RNA, 566 nt
Filed under: uncultured organism
Description: bacterial SSU rRNA
Rfam family: Bacterial small subunit ribosomal RNA
Source: RNAcentral